UAUUGAAGAAGUUGCAAAACGUUUGCUUCAUUACCAGAUGCUGGUCUGCCUGCCUUCAGUUAUCCAAAGACUGAACACCACAGCUGAAGCAGAUUCCAUUCUUCUGAUAGGUUUGACUGUGAAAUACAGUUAUGCAGAUACCAAGGAAUCAAAGACAAAUUCAUUUUCAAAAGUAACUUUCUAUCCAUGACUCAAGAGAUCACAGCUUCUGCACUGAGUGUAUUUGACAAGCUGAAUUCAGACACUCAAUUUAAAACAGUGUCAGUUUGUCAAAUACCCCAAGUGCAGAGCUGAAAAGCAGCUGAACAUUGUCCAGUGCUGUGAGGGGCUUAAAGAAACAAGCGUACAACUGAUGAGACUCUAAUAUCUGCAAAUGUGUGGAUGUGUAUUAGUGUUUACAAAAUCCAGAGUGAAAUAAGUGGAGUUUGUGAACUGAAUGGUUAUUAUUCAGAUGCUACAGACUUUGUGUACCUAACACAAGAUGGCUAUUUUAAAAUGGAUAUUACAUUCUCAAAGUAUUAUUUUAAACUAAUGGGCAACAUGUAAGAUAUCAUGACAUCACUAGCCACAUUAAGACUACUAAAAUAAGAACUUUGCUUUCCAAAAACAAGUAAAUAAAAAGCUGUAUCUUAGGUGCUUAUCCAGCACUUAUUUGCUUGCACGAACAGUAAAAGUAUUCCGAGUUUCUGGCACACAUUCAUUCUCAAUAAUGAAACAAUUUUCACUCUUUCAUUUUUUCCAUAUAUCACUAAUAUUUGGCCAUUCCAUCACUGCCUCUCCAGGAGGCAAUUUCUGAACAAUGAGAUCAAUGCUUCUCCAUUGGACGACAUAAAUGGACCCGGAAGACUAGCUGUUCUUGCUUGGAAAGGAGUAUGUGAUAAUGUUCAACAUAGGUCAAUUGUUUAAGCUUCUGUUUUCAACUAACAUUGUUAAUAUGGAGUCCAUGGGAGGUCAGCAAGUUAACAAAACAGAUUAACUCACCUUCAGCCAUUGACAAGAAAUAAAAUUACAUUUUUGCUA
This is a long non-coding RNA of Stegostoma tigrinum, 1020 nucleotides long. RefSeq lists it as uncharacterized. NCBI's taxonomy places the organism in Eukaryota, Metazoa, Chordata, Chondrichthyes, Orectolobiformes, Stegostomatidae. The record is from RefSeq and is a predicted model, not a curated record. The transcript is spliced from 2 exons.